UGCCAGCCGCCGCGGUAAUACGGAGGGUGCAAGCGUUGUUCGGAAUUAUUGGGCGUAAAGCGCGUGUAGGCGGUUCGUUAAGUCUGAUGUGAAAGCCCGGGGCUCAACCCCGGAACUGCCUUUCAUACUGGCGAUCUGGAGUUCGAGAGAGGUGAGUGGAAUUCCGAGUGUAGAGGUGAAAUUCGUAGAUAUUCGGAGGAACACCAGUGGCGAAGGCGGCUUUCUGGACCGAUACUGACGCUGACCCUGAGGGACGAAAGCUAGGAUAGCGAACAGGAUUAGAUA
This 285-nucleotide ribosomal RNA is filed under the name uncultured bacterium. RNAcentral's name for it is "partial 16S ribosomal RNA". It matches the Rfam family "Bacterial small subunit ribosomal RNA", at positions 506 to 784 of the family's 1533-position model. The record is from RNAcentral.